ACGGAGAGCUACGGAAAGAGGAUUCGUCCAAUUGAAGUAGUUUCUUAGUGGCGGACGGGUGAGUAACGCGUGAGGAACCUGCCUUGGAGUGGGGAAUAACACAGUGAAAAUUGUGCUAAUACCGCAUGAAGCAGUUGGGUCGCAUGGCCCUGACUGCCAAAGAUUUAUCGCUCUGAGAUGGCCUCGCGCCUGAUUAGCUAGUUGGUGGGGCAACGGCCCACCAAGGCGACGAUCAGUAGCCGGACUGAGAGGUUGGCCGGCCACAUUGGGACUGAGACACGGCCCAGACUCCUACGGGAGGCAGCAGUGGGGAAUAUUGGGCAAUGGGCGCAAGCCUGACCCAGCAACGCCGCGUGAAGGAAGAAGGCCCUCGGGUUGUAAACUUCUUUUGUCAGGGACGAAGCAAGUGACGGUACCUGACGAAUAAGCCACGGCUAACUACGUGCCAGCAGCCGCGGUAAUACGUAGGUGGCAAGCGUUAUCCGGAUUUACUGGGUGUAAAGGGCGUGUAGGCGGGAUGGCAAGUCAGAUGUGAAAACCACGGGCUCAACCUGUGGCCUGCAUUUGAAACUGUCGUUCUUGAGUACUGGAGAGGCAGACGGAAUUCCUAGUGUA
Molecule: ribosomal RNA, 615 nt
Filed under: uncultured bacterium
Lineage: Bacteria
Description: bacterial SSU rRNA
Rfam family: Bacterial small subunit ribosomal RNA
Source: RNAcentral